Long non-coding RNA from Telopea speciosissima, 172 nucleotides. RefSeq lists it as uncharacterized. The transcript is spliced from 4 exons. Lineage: Eukaryota; Viridiplantae; Streptophyta; Magnoliopsida; Proteales; Proteaceae. The record is from RefSeq and is a predicted model, not a curated record.
UCUUCCCUAUUCUCCGGGAGCUGUCUCCUAUCUCUUUGGCCUUCCUAAUUAACCAAGAAAUUAAGGAUGGCAGAAGCAAUACUUUCUGAUCUUGCAACCAAAAUCUUAGAGGGUUUGGACUCUCUCCUCAUCCAAGAGAUUGGACUAGAAUCUGGAGAACUAAAACAGGAAU